RNAcentral lists this ribosomal RNA (759 nucleotides) under marine metagenome. RNAcentral's name for it is "bacterial SSU rRNA". It matches the Rfam family "Bacterial small subunit ribosomal RNA", at positions 750 to 1520 of the family's 1533-position model. The record is from RNAcentral.
GGAACGAAAGCAUGGGUAGCGAAGAGGAUUAGAUACCCUCGUAGUCCAUGCCGUAAACGAUGUGUGUUAGACGUUGGAAAUUUAUUUUCAGUGUCGCAGGGAAACCGAUAAACACACCGCCUGGGGAGUACGACCGCAAGGUUAAAACUCAAAUGAAUUGACGGGGACCCGCACAAGUAGUGGAGCAUGUGGUUUAAUUCGAAGAUACGCGCAGAACCUUACCAACACUUGACAUGUUCGUCGCGACUCUAAGAGAUUAGAGUUUUCGGUUCGGCCGGACGAAACACAGGUGCUGCAUGGCUGUCGUCAGCUCGUGUCGUGAGAUGUUGGGUUAAGUCCCGCAACGAGCGCAACCCUCACUUUUAGUUGCCAUCAUUAAGUUGGGCACUCUGAAAGAACUGCCAGUGAUAAGCUGGAGGAAGGUGGGGAUGACGUCAAGUCCUCAUGGCCCUUACGUGUUGGGCUACACACGUGCUACAAUGGCAUCUACAACAGGAAGCAAAACGGCAACGUUAAGCAAAUCCCGAAAAGAUGCCUCAGUUCGGAUUGCACUCUGCAACUCGAGUGCAUGAAGCUGGAAUUACUAGUAAUCGUGGAUCAGCGUGCCACGGUGAAUGCGUUCCCGGGUCUUGUACACACCGCCCGUCACACCAUGGGAGUUGGUUCUACCUUAAGGCAAGGUUUCAAACCCUUGACCACGGUAUAGUCAGCGACUGGGGUGAAGUCGUAACAAGGUAGCCGUAGGGGAACCUGCGGCUG